Molecule: ribosomal RNA, 329 nt
Filed under: Guimaraesiella mcgrewi
Lineage: Eukaryota; Metazoa; Arthropoda; Insecta; Psocodea; Philopteridae
Description: partial small subunit ribosomal RNA
Source: RNAcentral
UCCUUUUAAUGAGGUUGAGUGGGAUAAAAAUAAGAAGUAUGGCGGUCUUUGAUCUUGUCAGAGGGACAUGUAUUUAAUAAACGAAUUUGCACGAUAAUCUGUCCUAAUUUAGAAUGACUCAUUUUGUACACCGCUGUCUGAAAGAAAUUACAAAGGUAUUUUCUUACUUCUUAUAUGAGAAGUAAGGCAAGUUAAGGUGCAGAUCAUAGUUAGGGUAAUAUGUGUUCCAAUAAUAAUUAUGGACGAAUUAGAUGAAAUAGAUUAGGAAAAGAGAAUUUGAUAGUAAGAUUAACUAUUAAAUUAGUCUGAAAUUGGGCUAUAGAAGGUGU